Molecule: ribosomal RNA, 252 nt
Filed under: uncultured bacterium
Lineage: Bacteria
Description: partial 16S ribosomal RNA
Rfam family: Bacterial small subunit ribosomal RNA
Source: RNAcentral
UACGGAGGAUGCGAGCGUUAUCCGGAUUUAUUGGGUUUAAAGGGUGCGUAGGCGGACUGUCAAGUCAGCGGUAAAAUUGAGAGGCUCAACCUCUUCCCGCCGUUGGAACUGGUGGUCUUGAGUGGAUGAGAAGUACGCGGAAUGCGUGGUGUAGCGGUGAAAUGCAUAGAUAUCACGCAGAACUCCGAUUGCGAAGGCAGCGUACCGGCAUCCAACUGACGCUGAGGCACGAAAGCGUGGGGAUCAAACAGG